Molecule: ribosomal RNA, 253 nt
Filed under: uncultured bacterium
Lineage: Bacteria
Description: partial 16S ribosomal RNA
Rfam family: Bacterial small subunit ribosomal RNA
Source: RNAcentral
GACGAGGGAUCCUAGCGUUGUUCGGAAUCAUUGGGCGUAAAGCGGGUGUAGGUGGACUUAUAAGUCAGGUGUGAAAUCCCAGGGCUCAACCCUGGAAGUGCAUUUGAUACUGUAAGUCUUGAAUGUGGUAGAGGUUACUGGAAUUGCUGGUGUAGUGGUGAAAUACGUAGAUAUCAGCAGGAACACCAGAGGCGAAGGCGGGUAACUGGGCCAACAUUGACACUGAGACCCGAAAGCGUGGGGAGCAAACAGG